AUGACAAAGAGGGUACAAGAAAACAGAGAAAAAUCUGAGAAGUGGACUAACAAUCCAAUUUGCCCAAAUAUCUUUAAAAAGCUUAAGGUGAGCAUCAAAUUGACUCAAUUUUGUGACGUGCUCUGGAAUGGGAAAGAGGGAUUUGAGGUUAAGCAUGUCAGUGGAAGAGGAAGGACCUAUACAGUAAAUUUAAAGAAGAGGACAUGCUCUUGUGGGUACUUACAGCUUGCAGGCCUACCUUGCUGCCAUGCUAUAAGUGCUAUAUAUAAGUCUAGUAGAAGAAUUGAAGAUUUUAUUGAAAAGUGUUACUUAGUUGAGCAGUUCAAGAAAAUAUAUGAGCAUUGUUUGCAACCAGUUGAAGGUGAGGAAAGGUGGCCUAUUUCUCAGAAUCCCAGACCACAAGCUCCAGGAUAUGUUAGCAUGCCUGGUAGGCCUAGGAAGAAUGACAGGAGGAGGGAAGAAGGAGAAGCACCAAAAGGAAAUAAGAUGUCAAAACAUGGGAUUAAGAUAACUUGCAGUAUGUGUGGCAGCAAAGGCCACAAUAAGACAGGUUGCCACAAAAAUGCAGAAAAAGGGAAGAAAAAGAAUGCCUUUUUGAAGAAAACAGGGAGGAAAAUGAAGGAAACUGAGGUAUAUAAUUCUGCAGAUUUAUCAUUAAUUAUGCAUUUCUUGUAA
This 675-nucleotide ribosomal RNA is filed under the name Triticum aestivum (bread wheat). Its description in RNAcentral is "partial small subunit ribosomal RNA". The record is from RNAcentral. Lineage: Eukaryota; Viridiplantae; Streptophyta; Magnoliopsida; Poales; Poaceae.